UGGGGAAUAUUGGACAAUGGGCGCAAGCCUGAUCCAGCCAUGCCGCGUGAGUGAUGAAGGCCCUAGGGUUGUAAAGCUCUUUCACCGGUGAAGAUAAUGACGGUAACCGGAUAAGAAUCCCCGGCUAACUUCGUGCCAGCAGCCGCGGUAAUACGGAGGGGGCUAGCGUUGUUCGGAUUUACUGGGCGUAAAGCGCACGUAGGCGGACUUUUAAGUCAGGGGUGAAAUCCCGGGGCUCAACCCCGGAACGGCCAUUGAUACUGGAAGUCUUGAGUAUGGUAGAGGUGAGAGGAAUUCCGAAUGUAGAGGUGAAAUUCGUAGAUAUUCGGAAGAACACCAGUGGCGAAGGCGGCUCACUGGGCAGUUACUGACGCUGAGGUGCGAAAGCGUGGGGAGCAAACAGG
RNAcentral lists this ribosomal RNA (404 nucleotides) under Actinomycetes bacterium. Its description in RNAcentral is "Actinobacteria bacterium partial 16S ribosomal RNA". It matches the Rfam family "Bacterial small subunit ribosomal RNA", at positions 355 to 776 of the family's 1533-position model. Lineage: Bacteria; Bacillati; Actinomycetota; Actinomycetes. The record is from RNAcentral.